Molecule: ribosomal RNA, 253 nt
Filed under: uncultured bacterium
Lineage: Bacteria
Description: partial 16S ribosomal RNA
Rfam family: Bacterial small subunit ribosomal RNA
Source: RNAcentral
UACGUAAGGGGCAAGCGUUAUCCGGAUUUACUGGGUGUAAAGGGGGCGCAGACGGCGAUGCAAGCCAGGAGUGAAAGCCCGGGGCCCAACCCCGGGACUGCUCUUGGAACUGCGUGGCUGGAGUGCAGGAGGGGCAGGCGGAAUUCCUGGUGUAGCGGUGAAAUGCGUAGAUAUCAGGAGGAACACCGGUGGCGAAGGCGGCCUGCUGGACUGCAACUGACGUUGAGGCCCGAAAGCGUGGGGAGCAAACAGG